Molecule: transfer RNA, 71 nt
Filed under: Parcubacteria group bacterium CG2_30_36_21
Lineage: Bacteria
Also listed under: 1 other name
Description: tRNA-Pro
Rfam family: tRNA
About the family: Transfer RNA (tRNA) molecules are approximately 80 nucleotides in length.
Source: RNAcentral
CGGAGUGUAGUACAAUGGUAGUAUACAUCCUUGGGGUGGAUGCGACCCGGGUUCAAUUCCCGGCACUCCGA